This 35-nucleotide small nuclear RNA is filed under the name Cervus elaphus hippelaphus. Lineage: Eukaryota; Metazoa; Chordata; Mammalia; Artiodactyla; Cervidae. The record is from RNAcentral.
AUCUCUUCUAGGCCUUUUGGCUAAGAUCAAGUGUA